UUUGUUCAAUCCAAAAUGAGAAAUGAUUAAGUGACAAUUUUUAAUCUACUAUAAAAAUGACAAUUUGUUCUUAACCACAAAAUACCAAAGCCCGUCUGAACUUUAAUGUUUUCAUUAGGCGCCACGCCUGGACCUGUCUUAUGCUCAGAGGAGCAUGUGAGAUUUUAGUUAAUGUGGCUUUAGUUUUCAAUGAAGAUUGGACAAUCUUUCAUUUAAUCGCUCGAGCGUUUGCUUCUCUUGCCAUUUUAGAUUAUUAAAGUGCUAUAGAUUUAUUAGCUGAAUUGCAAUUUUAAGUGGACUCGAUUUGAUUUUGAACGAUUUGAUUGGGUCCGGAAGUCAGCUUUUCCAUUGGCAUAAUCGAGUUAUUAAUGAUAACAUGCGUCCGUGGCUGUUGCAGGAUUAGUUGGGAGAUGUUCUGCAUUGGAUUCGGCAGGUAAUGUUGCUAGUGUGUGGAUUGUUGUGGGGUGCAAUACCUUUGGUUGGAGGCAUAUGGAUUGUUCUGUGAGUUGAUUGCUUUUCGCGUUCAUGCACCUUUUUAACCUUCCCCUGUUUCUGUUCUAUGAAAGCUCGAAACUCUUGUAGAGGACUAGGCAUCCCCCAGGGUAAAAAAAAUUAAGGAAAUCAUCCUUGAAUUUGGAUGAUGGCUUAGUCGUGGAGUGAGAAUUUAGAGCUACCAGAGCCAUUGGCAUCCGCGUGAACGAGAUUAUUCUCUACCUCCAAUGCUUGUCCCUUCUCUCUUUCGUUUGAAGGAACCCCACCUCUGUGACGUCCACCAAGUGUUUGUGAAUUUGCCCAAUUGUAUCCAUUGCGUAAUUCACAGAUUUAAAUGUUUUGACUACUGGUUUUGUGAAAUUAUAUUCUCUCUUCUUUUAGUUAUUUUUCUAUUAUGUUGAUGCCCUGGUCAAUCUAGAUGGAUGAGUUUAUUCCAUUUUCACUACUUGCAGACUCGUCCUGGAUGAGAAUUGUUCCUAUUGUGUUUGGUACACAAGCCUAGUAAGGACUUAAGUCCUUCACAGGUUUAAAAGUGCCAAGUAUGGAUGGAAAGUUGAAGUUCACUAUUAAAAAUACUUAAGUGAAAGAAUCUAAUUGAGCCUAACAAAUCACAAGAGAGGCACACAGCAUGGGGGAAGUUUCCAUUUGUAUUUGGAAAUUUGUCAAGUUCCUGUUAUGUACCAUUUGAGAAGGUAAUCUUGUUCAUUUUGAUAUUUUUUUUUCCUCACUGUGCAUGGCUAGAAACUUCCACCCCAUGCAUGAGUGGGUGUGAUUAUGAUUUUAUGGAUUUGCUAUAGCAGGAUGUGUUCGAGUGGGUCACUACAUGGAUACUAUACUUCUUGGAAGAGAGAUUCUAUGUUGAUUUAUCCAAAGUCCAGAGUGUUCUCUCUCUUUCUAGUUUGAUCACUCGUGGGGUAACAAUUUUCCACACCGUUCAUUUGAUGAACUGGAUGAGAUGCUAGAGACAGAAUGGAGUCUCUUCCAGGUUUCAUUUGAAGUAUCAAAAGCAACACUGAGAAGGUGUUGGGUUUCACCUUAUAUGCAAGCAAAUAGAGGAUGGUCAAAGGGUUCUAUGCCAACAUGAAUGCCCUUAGGAAGUUCCUCAAGCCUCUAAAGAUAAUCUUAGUAAUCAGAGACAUUCUUGAAUCAUGGCACAAAAGUCCACCUCUGGAUUGCAACCAAGUUUGAAUAUUAGACAUAAUGCUUACUGUAAUUUGUUGCAUUUGCUAAAUGUUUCCUUGCACUUCAAUUCCAACAAUAUCUGCACUUGUGCCGUUUCCCGAUGAGAGUGACCCUUUUGUCCAUCUUCUGAUGGGUUUCUAAUGGAAUUCUCCUAUGUGACGACCACAGUGGCUGUCACAUCAAGCAACUUCAUCUGGGUUUGUCACGAAAGAUGGAUGGAUGGGACAUUUGUUGAUUUGGCUGGUGCUAAUGCUAAAUUUGGAAAUUUAAUUGUGAGGGAAUACUUUGCAAAUGUCCAAAAGUAUACAUAUACCAUGUAUGUUAUUUAGCAGUCACGAAUUUGAAACUUUUUGCAGCUGAAUUUAGCUUUAGGUAGUUGGGAAUUAUACAAAUGCUUAGAUAUAAAGGGAUAUUAAAAAAAGUUAUGUAGGUCUUUUUCUUGGCCUCAUUGGAAGUAUUGUUCAAGUCACUAUGAUCUUGUGCUUUAGAACUUGCUUCAUUUUUAUUGCUUUUUGCGCUUCACUCUUGGGGAUCCUAUAAUUUCUUCCAGAUUGCUUAUUGUGUCACAAAACGAAGUAUCAAUGUCAAAACACAAGCAGACUGAACAUUCUAGCUCUUUCCUCUCUUUCUUAUUUAUGUGUCUACCAUCUCUUUCAGUUUCCCAUAUUAUGCUAGUUGGAGUGCUUAUAAUGCAAGAUCAUAGGAGUAAAUCAAUUUGAUGUGCAAGUGAGCUUUUCCAAGUUUGUCAUAUGUAUCCUUGAGUCUUUUUUUAACCAAAUUAAUGCAGCACGUGUUAAUUUUACUCUUUUGCAGAGCUUUUGGAUGUUCUGUCUUUAUGGAAGUUUAAGCAAAUAUGAGCUUGACGAGUUCCAUGUAUUUUAUCCCAGAAUUAUUAAUUGUGUGAAAUCUCUCUUCUUUUCCAUAAAUUCAUGAUGUGUAUAGUUUCGAACACGCUAUAUCACAUUGAAGUACCUUUCUAUUGUUUCAAAA
Molecule: long non-coding RNA, 2664 nt
Organism: Eucalyptus grandis
Lineage: Eukaryota; Viridiplantae; Streptophyta; Magnoliopsida; Myrtales; Myrtaceae
Exons: 2
Source: RefSeq, a predicted model, not a curated record